CUUCAAUUUCACAGCGACCAC
Molecule: microRNA, 21 nt
Filed under: Vitis vinifera (wine grape)
Lineage: Eukaryota; Viridiplantae; Streptophyta; Magnoliopsida; Vitales; Vitaceae
Description: vvi-miR3626-3p
Source: miRBase by way of RNAcentral